Long non-coding RNA from Cyanistes caeruleus (blue tit), 1604 nucleotides. The record is from Ensembl. NCBI's taxonomy places the organism in Eukaryota, Metazoa, Chordata, Aves, Passeriformes, Paridae.
GUCCCACCUGGGCCGCGCCUGAGCUCACCAGGACCCUUCCCGCCGAGGCGCUGGCCCGGAGCUCCCGCUGGAACGCCGGGAUCCGCCCGGGACCUGUCCGAGCUCCAGCACCGCGGCCGAGAGGAACUGGAGAUGUCACCAGGGGGGACACCAGGUCCUCGUCCCCUCCUCUGUUUGAGGCUCAGCCCUGGCACAUUCCUUCAUCCAACCAAGGAUCCGACACGGAAUAAGGGAGGAUCCAGAGUAUCCUUCAUCCAAGCAGAAGAGAAAUUUAUCCACCUGCCACUGGGGAAACGACAGGAAAGUUCCUGCUGGGUUUGGGAUCUGAACCUGUUUCCCCGUAGCUGGUGCUGCAUUCCCUUUUCCUCCCGGAUACAUCCGGAAUUCCCAGAAUUUUCCCCAUGGAGACGCUUCCUUAGAUCCUUGCCGGAGCUGCUGGCCCUCAUGGGAGGUUGCCUGUGGAUCGUUUGGACAUCCUGGGGCACAUCCCACGGAAAACCUGGAGACAGAAUUCCUUUCUGGGGUUAAAGCAAUUCCAUCUUUCCCACUUAGCGAGAAGGAGAUCAAAUCCCACGCUCCGGCUUUGCGCCUGGAUCCGCGAGGAGCUGGAAUUCGUCGUUUACGAGAUUGGGAGUCCCCUGCCCUCCCUCUCAUUGGUCUUUCCUGCGGUUUUCCCAGAAUUCCAAGAAGAAUUCCCAGAAAAUGGAACAAAGAGCAGUUUUUGAGGAUCAGGGGAUUGAAAGCACGAAAGAACUUUAAUCCAUCCCAGAGCGCUGGCACAAAACAGAACCUUUCCACACUUUGGGAAGCGCAGGAAUCCUCAUCAUCUCCGGACAAAAAUCACAUUUCAGAGGAAAUUCCAACCAACCAAUCACGGAGCCACGGAAUUAUUAAGGAUGGAAAAGACCUUUUAGAUCCCCAAAUCCAGCACCACGCCCAUAUCCCUUAAACCACGCCCACAGCCUUUCCAGGAAUGGCGAUUCCAUUCGGUGGAAUGAAGAUUCCGUUUUUUUCCAUGAAGAAAUUGCUCCCAUUAUCCCACCUCAUCCUCCCCUGCUGCAACUCCAGGCCGUUUCCAUGUGGAUUAGGAGGAAACUUUAUGCAGGAUUACAUAAAAUUACCCAGGAGAACAGAAUGAUGGAUUUUGAUUAGGAAAGUGAAAUUUUGGGAAUUUAAAGUGAGGUGGAGCAAACCAAAACAUUCCCCGGAGUUUCAAAUCUCUCCUCACCAGCCUUUAUUUUUAUUUUUUUAUGUAGGAAACCAAGUUCAACCAAUUGCUCUGUGGGUACUUCCUUGGCUUCCUAAAUCCAAAAUUUUUUUUGUUUCCAUUAGGCAGCAGUUGAGGGUUAGAUCCACGUCCCAAACACGGAAAUUAUGUCAGUGGUUUAUCUUUUCCCAGCAAUUUUCCCUGGAAUUGUACAAUUCCCAGGAUCUGAGUGGGUGAGUCUUGGACAGGCUCUGUGCCUUUGCUGCAUCUUAAGCGCUCACUGCGCAUUUUAAAGCUUAAACCUUCUCUGAUUUAUAAUUUUAUAUAUAUAUAUUUUUUUUUGUAUUUAUGAUGCUGUAAAAUAAUAAAAAGAAAUGUCCAGGAAGGUGUUGAGCCA